RNAcentral lists this ribosomal RNA (407 nucleotides) under uncultured bacterium. RNAcentral describes it as "partial 16S ribosomal RNA". It matches the Rfam family "Bacterial small subunit ribosomal RNA", at positions 30 to 526 of the family's 1533-position model. The record is from RNAcentral.
AUUGAACGCUGGCGGCAGGCCUAACACAUGCAAGUCGAGCGGAGCGGCGGACGGGUGGGUGAUGCCUAGGAAUCUGCCUGGUAGUGGGGGACCCCGUCCGGCAGGGUAAGCUAUUACAGCAUACUUGCAAAUCAGCCUAGGUCGGAUGAGCUAGUUGGUGGGGUAAAGGCCUACCAAGGCGACGAUCCGUAGCUGGGCUGAGAGGAUGAUCAGCCACACUGGAACUGAGACACGGUCCAGACUCCUACGGGAGGCAGCAGUGGGGAAUAUUGGACAAUGGGCGAAAGCCUGAUCCAGCAAUGCCGCGUGUGUGAAGAAGGUCUUCGGAUUGUAAAGCACUGUAAGUUGGGAGGCGUUACCAACAGAAGAAGCACCGGCUAACUCCGUGCCAGCCGCCGCGGUAAUAC